GGAUCCCGUAGGAAUACACUGCAAUGAACAUUAUUCUGCAGGGUCCCACGAAGACGGUGCGGUAUACGAGCUUUAUGAAGGUGUGAAAGGUUAUUAAUUUGAGCCCGUUAGACAGCACACACGUCUGAAUUCAGACAAAGUAGCUGGCGACCAAGAUGCCGACACAGCAGUCAGACCCACUGUGGAGGAUAUGCCUCGUGUUGAAAAUAUCGACUGGUGUCUUUAUGCAGCUAACGACCUCACACAGGCGCAUCUGAUUCAGGAUCAUACAUGGGCAGGAGGUGGACUUUUGAAGGUGGACUAACAAGUCUUUGAGGAUGAUCUCUCUCACAGUGGACAUGCACCUACGAUGGAAAUUUCAGACUCCUCCAUGAUUCCUAAGCGGCAGAGCUCUCAAUAUAGACCUCGGGACAGCAUGCAACCUUGAUGACGGUGCUCUCGGGUCGGCGUGACAUCGGGAAGGAGGCGCUGGGCCAUCUCAGUCCCGUCCUGUGCUGUGCUCGUACCCUCCGGAAAG
This is a long non-coding RNA of Syngnathoides biaculeatus (alligator pipefish), 517 nucleotides long. RefSeq lists it as uncharacterized. The record is from RefSeq and is a predicted model, not a curated record. The transcript is spliced from 4 exons. Lineage: Eukaryota; Metazoa; Chordata; Actinopteri; Syngnathiformes; Syngnathidae.